Molecule: ribosomal RNA, 260 nt
Filed under: uncultured bacterium
Lineage: Bacteria
Description: partial 16S ribosomal RNA
Rfam family: Bacterial small subunit ribosomal RNA
Source: RNAcentral
UACGUAGGGUGCAAGCGUUGUCCGGAAUUAUUGGGCGUAAAGAGCUCGUAGGCGGUGUGUCACGUCGGCCGUGAAAACCUGCAGCUUAACUGUGGGCGUGCGGUCGAUACGGGCAUCACUGGAGUUCGGCAGGGGAGACUGGAAUUCCCGGUGUAGCGGUGAAAUGCGCAGAUAUCGGGAGGAACACCAGUAGCGAAGGCGGCACUCUGGGCCGGUACUGACGCUGAGGAGCGAAAGCGUGGGGAGCAAACAGGAUUGAG